GAUGAAGAACGCAGCAAAAUGCGAUAAGUAAUGUGAAUUGCAGAAUUCAGUGAAUCAUCGAAUCUUUGAACGCACAUUGCGACCGCCAGUAUUCUGGCGGGCAUGCCUGUUCGAGCGUCAUUUCAACCCUCAAGCACAGCUUGGUGUUGGGACUCGCGUUAAUUCGCGUUCCCCAAAUUGAUUGGCGGUCACGUCGAGCUUCCAUAGCGUAGUAGUAAAACCCUCGUUACUGGUAAUCGUCGCGGCCACGCCGUUAAACCCCAACUUCUGAAUGUUGACCUCGGAUCAGGUAGGAAUACCCGCUGAACUUAAGCAUAUCAAUAAGCGGAGGA
RNAcentral lists this unclassified non-coding RNA (332 nucleotides) under soil metagenome. RNAcentral's name for it is "partial contains 5.8S ribosomal RNA, internal transcribed spacer 2, and large subunit ribosomal RNA". The stretch from base 1 to 120 matches the Rfam family "5.8S ribosomal RNA", at positions 35 to 154 of the family's 154-position model. The record is from RNAcentral.